Molecule: non-coding RNA, 94 nt
Organism: Armillaria fumosa
Lineage: Eukaryota; Fungi; Basidiomycota; Agaricomycetes; Agaricales; Physalacriaceae
Source: the annotation of a GenBank genome assembly
GGGCACAUGGUGUAGUUGGUUUAUCACGCCCGCUUAGCAUCUUGGUAGUGUUCUUACGUGCGGGAGGUGUUGGGUUCAAUUCCCAAUGUGUCCA